Long non-coding RNA from Taeniopygia guttata (zebra finch), 4152 nucleotides. The record is from Ensembl. Lineage: Eukaryota; Metazoa; Chordata; Aves; Passeriformes; Estrildidae.
GGGGUCAGUGGUCACUCAGUGGUCACUCUGGUCACUCGCAGGGGGUCAGUGGUCACUCUGGCCGCUGUCCGGCGGUUGGUGCUCCCGGCCAUGCGGGACCCCCUGAGUGACCCUGAGUGACCAUUGGCCGUGUGCCCGGGGUCAGAGGUCACUGUGGGUCAGUGGUCACUCAGUGGUCACUCAGUGGUCACUCAGUGGUCACUCUGGUCACUCCCAGGGGGUCAGUGGUCACUCUGGCCGCUGUCCGGCGGUUGGUGCUCCCGGCCAUGCGGGACCCCCUGAGUGACCCUGAGUGACCAUUGGCCGUGUGCCCGGGGUCAGAGGUCACUGUGGGUCACUGUGGGUCAGUGGUCACUCAGUGGUCACUCAGUGGUCACUCUGGUCACUCGCAGGGGGUCAGUGGUCACUCUGGCCGCUGUCCGGCGGUUGGUGCUCCCGGCCAUGCGGGACCCCCUGAGUGACCCUGAGUGACCAUUGGCCGUGUGCCCGGGGUCAGAGGUCCCUGUGGGUCACUGUGGGUCACUGUGGGUCAGUGGUCACUCAGUGGUCACUCAGUGGUCACUCAGUGGUCACUCUGGUCACUCUCCCCAGGGGGUCAGUGGUCACUCUGGCCGCUGUCCGGCGCUUGGUGCUCCCGGCCAUGCGGGACCCCCUGAGUGACCCUGAGUGACCAUUGGCCGUGUGCCCGGGGUCAGAGGUCACUGUGGGUCACUGUGGGUCACUGUGGGUCAGUGGUCACUCAGUGGUCACUCAGUGGUCACUCUGGUCACUCCCAGGGGGUCAGUGGUCACUCUGGCCGCUGUCCGGCGGUUGGUGCUCCCGGCCAUGCGGGACCCCUGAGUGACCCUGAGUGACCAUUGGCCGUGUGCCCGGGGUCAGAGGUCACUGUGGGUCACUGUGGGUCAGUGGUCACUCAGUGGUCACUCAGUGGUCACUCUGGUCACUCCCAGGGGGUCAGUGGUCACUCUGGCCGCUGUCCGGCGGUUGGUGCUCCCGGCCAUGCGGGACCCCCUGAGCGGCGCCGCCCUGAGCGACGGAGACGUCAUCGAGCUGCAGAGGGGCGGGACCGGCUUCGCCGGGGCCGGAGUUUCCCUGGAGGCCAAAAAAUCCCGUCCGGUGAUGCAGGCCUAGGGGGGACCCCAAAAUCCCCCCUGGAACCCCAAAAAUCCCCCCAAAAACCCCAAAUUCCCGUUCAUCCCCCCCAAAUUCCCGUUCAUCCCCCCCAAAACACCUUUCAUUUCACCCAAAACCCCUUUAAUUCCACCCAAAAUCCUCCCUGGAACCCCCAAAAUCCCAUUAAUCCCCCCCAAAAUCCCGUUAAUCCCCCCCAAAAUCCCAUUAAUCCCCCCAAAUUCCUGUUAAUCCCCCCCAAAAUCCCAUUAAUCCCCCCCAAAAUCCCGUUAAUCCCCCCCAAAAUCCCAUUAAAAAUCCCAUUAAUUCCCCCCAAAUUCCCAUUAACCCUUCCCAAAAUCCCAUUAAUUCCCCCCAAAUUCCUGUUAAUUACCCCCAAAAUCCCAUUAAUUACCCCCAAAAUCCCAUUAAUCCUCCCAAAAAUCCCGUUAAUCCCCCCCAAAAUCCCAUUAAAAAUCCCAUUAAUCCCCCCCAAAAUCCCAUUAAAAAUCCCAUUAACCCCCCCCAAAAUCCCGUUAAUCCCCCCCAAACCCCCAGAUCCCACUUCCCCCUCCAAAUAAACUCGUUUCACCCCAAAAUUUCUUUGGUUCCGCUCCUUGAACCCCAAAAACGUUUCGGGGCGCCCCAAAAACCUUUUGGGGUUUGGGGCUCCAUCGCCCUUUUAAUUCCCCCCCGUGGGCCCCACCCGCGCAUCGCCGCUUUAAGCCACGCCCCCUCCCGCGCCUCAACCAAUCAGCGCUCAGCACACUGCAUCGCUUUAUUUGCAUAGUGGGCGCGGCCUCAGCGGGCGUCACCCAAUCAGCUUUGGAGAAAAAUAAAGGGGCGGGGCUCCGCGAAGCCACGCCCAUCUCUGGUACAAAUUCGGGGUUGUCAAUCAAAGCCCGACUGACCACGCCCCCUUUAAAAGGCCACGCCCCCUUUUUUGGGGGGGUCCCCAAAAUUUCUGUGCGGGGGGGGGGGGGGAGGGGAGGGACCCCCCCAAAAUAAGACACUCGGUGGGGGAGGGGCAACCCCCAAAUUUUGGGGGAUCCCAACACUCGAACCCCCCAAAUUUUGGGGAAAAAUCCCCAAAAAUUUUGGGAUGAAAACCCCAAAUUUUUGGGCGAAACACACAAAUUUUGACCUGAAAACCCCCAAAUUUUCGGGGAAAAUCCCCAAAUUUUGGGCUGAACCCCCAAAUAUUGGGAUAAAACCCCACAAUUUCAGGGAAAAUUCCCAAAUUUUGGGCUGAACCCCCCCAAAUUUUCAGGGAAAAUCCCCAAAAUUUGGGCUGAAAACCCCAAAUUUUGGGGUGAAACCCCCAGACUUUGAGCUGUAACCCCCAAAUUUUUGGGAAAACCCCCAAAAUUUGAGCUGAAAACCCCAAAAUUUUUUGCUCCUCCCCCCAUUUUUAGGAGCACCCCAAAAAUCGAUGGGGGGGUGAAAAAUCUUCAUUUUAAGGCUUGGAAAUUGGGAUUUUUUGGGGUUUUUGGUGGAUUUUUGGGGUUUUUUUUGGUUUUUUGGGGUUCCCGGAUUUUGGGGGAUUUUGGGGAUUUUUGGGGGGUCACGGGGGGUCCCCCCCGAGCAGACGGGGCCGGGGGAGGUCCCCAAAUAUUUCGGUGCCAUCGCCGACCCCAACACCUCAAAUCCCAAAAUUUUAGGUAAAAACCCCAAAAUUUGAGCUGAAACCCCCAAAUUUUCGGAAAAAAACCCAAAAUUUGAGCUGAAAACCCCAAAAUUUUUUGCUUCUCCCCCCAUUUUUUGGAGCACCUGAAAAAGCGACAGGGGGGCGAAAAAUCUUCAUUUUAAGGUGUUAAAAAUGGGAUUUUUUGUGGAAUUUUUGGCUUUUUUUGGGGUUUUUUGGGGUUUUUUGGGUUCCCGGAUUUGGGGGGAUUUUGGGGAUUUUUGGGGGGUCACGGGGGGUCCCCCCCGAGCAGACGGGGCCGGGGGAGGUCCCCAAAUAUUUCAGUGCCGAACACCUCAAACCCCCAAAUUUUAGGUAAAAACCCCAAAUUUUGUGCUGAAACCCCCAAAUUUUCGGGAAAAACCCCAAAAUUUUGAGCUGAAAACCCCAAAAUCUUUUGCUCCUCCCCCGAUAUUUUAGGGGCAACCAACAAUCAAUGGGGGGGGUGAAAAAUCUUCAUUUUAAGGCAUUAAAAAUGGGAUUUUUGGUGGAAUUUUUGGGGUUUUUUUGGGUUUUUUUGGUUUUUUUUUGGUUUUUUUGGGUUCCCGGAUUUUGGGGGAUUUUGGGGAUUUUUGGGGGGUCACGGGGGGUCCCCCCCGAGCAGGCGGGGCCGGGGGAGGUCCCCAAACAUUUCGGUGCCGAACACCUCAAACCCCCAAAUUUUAGGUAAAAACCCCAAAUUUUGAGCUGAAACCCCCAAAUUUUUGGGAAAAACCCCAAAAUUUCGAGCUGAAAACCCCAAAAUUUUUUGCUCCUCCCCCCAUUUUUUAGGGGCACCCCAAAAAUCGACGGAGGGGCGAAAAAUCUUCAUUUUAAGGCUUUGAAAUUGGGAUUUUUUGUGGAAUUUUUUGCUUUUUUUGGGGUUUUUUGGGGUUUUUGGGGUUCCCGGAUUUUGGGGGAUUUUGGGGAUUUUUGGGGGGUCACGGGGGGUCCCCCCCGAGCAGGCGGGGCCGGGGGAGGUCCCCGAACAUUUCGGUGCCGUCGCCGCCCCCGCGCAGCGUCAGCGCUCGCAUCGAGGCCGCGAUGCGCUCCAGGUCCGGCGGCGCCUGUGGGGACCAAAAUUUGGGGAUUAUUUUGGGGGGUUUGGGGGGAUGAACCCCAAAAUGAUCCCAAAAAAUGGGUUUGGGAGGGUGGGAAUUGAAAAAAAAAAAAAAAAAAAAAAUUUGAUGUAAAUCCGCCAAAAAAAUCCUCAAAAUCUCCCCAUAAAAACCCCGAAAUUCCCAUAAAAGCCCCCAAAAAAUCCUCUGUUAAAAAAACCCCAAAUUUACCCAAAAUCCCCCAAAAAAGCCCCCAAAUCCCCCCAUAAGAAAACCCAAAUUUACCCAAAAUCCCUCAAAUCCCCCCAAAUUCCCCAAAUC